This 355-nucleotide transfer RNA is filed under the name uncultured Microcystis sp. RNAcentral describes it as "partial 16S-23S ribosomal RNA intergenic spacer". The stretch from base 133 to 206 matches the Rfam family "tRNA". The record is from RNAcentral. Lineage: Bacteria; Bacillati; Cyanobacteriota; Cyanophyceae; Chroococcales; Microcystaceae.
AAGGGAGACCUAAUUCGGGUAUAAGACGAAAAAAGAGUAGUCGAAACCAAGAAUCAAUCCCAAAAGGUCGGAACGAGGUAUGUGGCUUUCAAACUAGGUUCUGGGUUCACACAAGACCUGAAUCAGGAACAAGGGCUAUUAGCUCAGGUGGUUAGAGCGCACCCCUGAUAAGGGUGAGGUCCCUGGUUCGAGUCCAGGAUGGCCCACCCGCACAGGUGGCAAAAACAAAGAAGCGAGGAAUCAGCACCUUAUCUUAUCUAUAUAUAAGAGAGAAUGCUGGCUCUGAGUAAAGAGUCCAGAGGAACCUUGAAAACUGCAUAGAGCUAGGUGAAAAAGCCAAAAAAGAAAACCGCAA